UGGGGAAUAUUGGACAAUGGGCGCAAGCCUGAUCCAGCCAUGCCGCGUGAGUGAUGAAGGCCCUAGGGUUGUAAAGCUCUUUCACCGGUGAAGAUAAUGACGGUAACCGGAGAAGAAGCCCCGGCUAACUUCGUGCCAGCAGCCGCGGUAAUACGAAGGGGGCUAGCGUUGUUCGGAUUUACUGGGCGUAAAGCGCACGUAGGCGGACUAUUAAGUCAGGGGUGAAAUCCCGGGGCUCAACCCCGGAACUGCCUUUGAUACUGGUAGUCUUGAGGUCGAGAGAGGUGAGUGGAAUUCCGGGUGUAGAGGUGAAAUUCGUAGAUAUUCGGAGGAACACCAGUGGCGAAGGCGGCUCACUGGCUCGAUACUGACGCUGGGGUGCGAAAGCGUGGGGAGCAAACAGG
This 404-nucleotide ribosomal RNA is filed under the name Actinomycetes bacterium. RNAcentral's name for it is "Actinobacteria bacterium partial 16S ribosomal RNA". It matches the Rfam family "Bacterial small subunit ribosomal RNA", at positions 355 to 776 of the family's 1533-position model. The record is from RNAcentral. Lineage: Bacteria; Bacillati; Actinomycetota; Actinomycetes.